RNAcentral lists this ribosomal RNA (1062 nucleotides) under uncultured Aquaspirillum sp. RNAcentral describes it as "bacterial SSU rRNA". It matches the Rfam family "Bacterial small subunit ribosomal RNA", at positions 8 to 1064 of the family's 1533-position model. The record is from RNAcentral. Lineage: Bacteria; Pseudomonadati; Pseudomonadota; Betaproteobacteria; Neisseriales; Aquaspirillaceae.
AGAGUUUGAUCCUGGCUCAGAUUGAACGCUGGCGGCAUGCCUUACACAUGCAAGUCGAACGGCAGCACGGAGCUUGCUCUGGUGGCGAGUGGCGAACGGGUGAGUAAUAUAUCGGAACGUACCCUAGAGUGGGGGAUAACGUAGCGAAAGUUACGCUAAUACCGCAUACGAUCUACGGAUGAAAGUGGGGGAUCGCAAGACCUCAUGCUCAUGGAGCGGCCGAUAUCUGAUUAGCUAGUUGGUAGGGUAAAAGCCUACCAAGGCAUCGAUCAGUAGCUGGUCUGAGAGGACGACCAGCCACACUGGAACUGAGACACGGUCCAGACUCCUACGGGAGGCAGCAGUGGGGAAUUUUGGACAAUGGGCGAAAGCCUGAUCCAGCAAUGCCGCGUGAGUGAAGAAGGCCUUCGGGUUGUAAAGCUCUUUUGUCAGGGAAGAAACGGUUGUCUCUAAUACAGAUGGCUAAUGACGGUACCUGAAGAAUAAGCACCGGCUAACUACGUGCCAGCAGCCGCGGUAAUACGUAGGGUGCAAGCGUUAAUCGGAAUUACUGGGCGUAAAGCGUGCGCAGGCGGUUAUGUAAGACAGAUGUGAAAUGCCCGGGCUUAACCUGGGAACUGCAUUUGUGACUGCAUGGCUAGAGUUUGGCAGAGGGGGGUAGAAUUCCACGUGUAGCAGUGAAAUGCGUAGAUAUGUGGAGGAACACCGAUGGCGAAGGCAGCCCCCUGGGUCAAGACUGACGCUCAUGCACGAAAGCGUGGGGAGCAAACAGGAUUAGAUACCCUGGUAGUCCACGCCCUAAACGAUGUCUACUAGUUGUCGGGUCUUAAUUGACUUGGUAACGCAGCUAACGCGUGAAGUAGACCGCCUGGGGAGUACGGUCGCAAGAUUAAAACUCAAAGGAAUUGACGGGGACCCGCACAAGCGGUGGAUGAUGUGGAUUAAUUCGAUGCAACGCGAAAAACCUUACCUACCCUUGACAUGGUUGGAAUCCCUGAGAGAUUGGGGAGUGCUCGAAAGAGAACCAGUACACAGGUGCUGCAUGGCUGUCGUCAGCUCGUG